Molecule: ribosomal RNA, 253 nt
Filed under: uncultured bacterium
Lineage: Bacteria
Description: partial 16S ribosomal RNA
Rfam family: Bacterial small subunit ribosomal RNA
Source: RNAcentral
UACAGAGGGUGCAAGCGUUAAUCGGAUUUACUGGGCGUAAAGCGUGUGUAGGUGGCUUCUUAAGUCGGUUGUGAAAGCCCUGGGCUCAACCUGGGAAUUGCAGUCGAUACUGAGAAGCUCGAGUUCGGUAGAGGGUGACGGAAUUCCCGGUGUAGCGGUGAAAUGCGUAGAUAUCGGGAGGAACAUCGAUGGCGAAGGCAAUCACCUGGGCCUGAACUGACACUGUGACACGAAAGCGUGGGUAGCAAACAGG